This 271-nucleotide long non-coding RNA is filed under the name Lathyrus oleraceus (garden pea). RNAcentral describes it as "Pisum sativum (pea) long non-coding RNA (PSAT_LNC017491)". Lineage: Eukaryota; Viridiplantae; Streptophyta; Magnoliopsida; Fabales; Fabaceae. The record is from RNAcentral.
UAAAAAAUAAAUUAAAAAUAAAAGAAAAUAAAAAUAUUAGUAAAUGCAAAACUGAUUAAAAAAAUAUGAGAAAAAUGUAUGUGAUGUAAAAUAAAUUUAGAGACCUUGUGUGAAAAAUUGGGAUAAAAAAUGUUUAAAAAUGAGAGAGAAAUUAAUUUGGAAAUAAAAUAAAAUAGAAUUAGGGCGUCAACGACUACUAGAAUUUGAAAAAAAAAAGCAUGAAAGCUUUUGGUUGGUUGAGAUUUGAAAUUGGCACCAAAGCGUGCGCAAC